Molecule: ribosomal RNA, 429 nt
Filed under: bacterium
Lineage: Bacteria
Description: partial 16S ribosomal RNA
Rfam family: Bacterial small subunit ribosomal RNA
Source: RNAcentral
UAGGGAAUCUUCCACAAUGGACGCAAGUCUGAUGGAGCAACGCCGCGUGAGUGAAGAAGGUUUUCGGAUCGUAAAGCUCUGUUGUUGGUGAAGAAGGAUAGAGGUAGUAACUGGCCGUUAUUUGACGGUAAUCAACCAGUAAGUCACGGCUAACUACGUGCCAGCAGCCGCGGUAAUACGUAGGUGGCAAGCGUUGUCCGGAUUUAUUGGGCGUAAAGCGAGAGCAGGCGGAAGAGUAAGUCUGAUGUGAAAGCCCUCGGCUUAACCGAGGAACUGCAUCGGAAACUGUUUUUCUUGAGUGCAGAAGAGGAGAGUGGAACUCCAUGUGUAGCGGUGGAAUGCGUAGAUAUAUGGAAGAACACCAGUGGCGAAGGCGACUCUCUGGUCUGCAACUGACGCUGAGGCUCGAAAGCAUGGGUAGCGAACAGG